This 215-nucleotide ribosomal RNA is filed under the name Candidatus Shikimatogenerans bostrichidophilus. RNAcentral's name for it is "partial 16S ribosomal RNA". It matches the Rfam family "Bacterial small subunit ribosomal RNA", at positions 1 to 202 of the family's 1533-position model. The record is from RNAcentral. Lineage: Bacteria; Pseudomonadati; Bacteroidota; Flavobacteriia; Flavobacteriales.
UUUUUUAAGAGUUUGAUCCUGGCUCAGGAUGAACGCUAGCGGCAAGCCUAACACAUGCAAGUUGAGGGGUAAUAUAUAAUUUUAGGAAACUAAUAUUAUAUAACGACCGGCGAACGGGUGAGUAAUACUUAUGUAAUUUACCUUUUGUUAGAGGAUAGCCUAAAUAACUUUAGAAUAAUACUCUAUAAAGUAAUAUAUUACUAGGAUAUAUUAUA